GAGCAGAUGGAAAUGCCGGCGAAAACGGAUUCUUGUGUGUUCAUGUGGCAUCAGCUCUAAAUAGGUAUGAGAAGAUGUGAACGUGAUUGAGAGCGAAGAUCAGAAAGACGGCCUUCAGGAAUUUGGGACACAACUCGGUCACGAUACCUACGACAUACGUAAACAGUAAAGUAAAUACUCGAAAAUAUUAUAGGUAUAGCUUCAUUCAUCCCUAGUAAUAAUAAUAAAUUAGGUAUAGGUGUAAGUUUCAUGGAAUAUGAGUGACACAAUUGUUCUUAUCUUAAUGUGUUAUUGCAUUUUGUGUUAUUUUUUUAUUUUUCGCCUUAGAUUCUGUUGCCAUAGUGACCGCUUGUGCAAGUAGGUACUUUUUAUUACAAAAAAGCAAGACUUAUAUUUCGUCAUGACAGAGGAAACAGACCGUAGUAGCCUCUUACCAGGUACCAUUAGACUCUCAGGGGCAGUAUCAAUUCACCUAACGGAGGCAUCUCGCCGGCCGCUUGGUGUCAACGAUCCGGAUAGCGCCUUACAGCUCGACUCUGGUGUUUCUGAGACUGAUGUGGACAUUUCAGUCGGUUCCAUAUUUUGAUGUCGGCCCUAUAUCUCACUGUCAUCUCACGGCAUAUUCCGGCACCGCCACCGACGGCAGCAGAUGGGUAUCUUGGACAGGAUGAAG
Molecule: long non-coding RNA, 673 nt
Organism: Amphibalanus amphitrite
Lineage: Eukaryota; Metazoa; Arthropoda; Thecostraca; Balanomorpha; Balanidae
Exons: 3
Source: RefSeq, a predicted model, not a curated record